UACGAAGGGGGCUAGCGUUGUUCGGAAUUACUGGGCGUAAAGGGCGCGCAGGCGGCUCUUCAAGUCAGAUGUGAAAGCCCCGGGCUCAACCUUGGAACUGCCUUUGAUACUGGAGACCUUGAGUCCGGGAGAGGUGAGUGGAAUUGCGAGUGUAGAGGUGAAAUUCGUAGAUAUCAGGAGGAACACCGGUGGCGAAGGCGGGUCUCUGGGCAGUAACUGACGCUGAGGAGCGAAAGCGUGGGGAGCGAACAGG
RNAcentral lists this ribosomal RNA (253 nucleotides) under uncultured bacterium. RNAcentral describes it as "partial 16S ribosomal RNA". It matches the Rfam family "Bacterial small subunit ribosomal RNA", at positions 524 to 776 of the family's 1533-position model. The record is from RNAcentral.